CAGUCGCCACGGGAAUACGUAGGUGGCAAGCGUUGUCCGGAAUUAUUGGGCGUAAAGGGCUCGCAGGCGGUUUCUUAAGUCUGAUGUGAAAGCCCCCGGCUCAACCGGGGAGGGUCAUUGGAAACCGGGAAACUUGAGUGCAGAAGAGGAGAGUGGAAUUCCACGUGUAGCGGUGAAAUGCGUUGAGAUCGGAAAGAACACCAACGGCGAAAGCACUCUGCUGGGCCGACACUGACACUGAGAGACGAAAGCUAGGGGAGCAAAUGGGAUUAGAUACCCCGGUAGUCCCUGUCUCUUAUAC
Molecule: ribosomal RNA, 301 nt
Filed under: uncultured bacterium
Lineage: Bacteria
Description: partial 16S ribosomal RNA
Rfam family: Bacterial small subunit ribosomal RNA
Source: RNAcentral